AGCAGCCGCGGUAAUUCCAGCUCCAAUAGCGUAUAUUAAAGUUGUUGCAGUUAAAAAGCCGUAGUUGAAUUUUGGAUCAGGUAACGCUUGGUCCAAGUUGCCAUUUGGCUAGUCGCAUGCUUCGGAUUGGUCCCAUUUGGCUUGGAUUUUGCCUCCCAUUCCUUGGGAAUGGAACCUCAUGAUCGUUCAUUGGAAUUUUUUCGGUUGCCCUUUUCCGCUGGGGGAAAAGAAUCCCGUGGGAAUGCUGUUCAAAUU
Molecule: ribosomal RNA, 255 nt
Filed under: uncultured Glomeromycotina
Lineage: Eukaryota; Fungi; Glomeromycota
Description: partial small subunit ribosomal RNA
Rfam family: Eukaryotic small subunit ribosomal RNA
Source: RNAcentral